RNAcentral lists this ribosomal RNA (494 nucleotides) under uncultured bacterium. RNAcentral's name for it is "partial 16S ribosomal RNA". It matches the Rfam family "Bacterial small subunit ribosomal RNA", at positions 28 to 507 of the family's 1533-position model. The record is from RNAcentral.
GACGAACGCUGGCGGCGUGCUUAACACAUGCAAGUCGAACGGAAAGGCCUGCUUUCCCUUGUGGAUUGCGGGUACUCGAGUGGCGAACGGGUGAGUAACACGUGAGUGAUCUGCCCCCAACUUGGGUAUAAGCCUGGGAAACUGGGUCUAAUUCCCGAUAGGACUGCAGGGUGGUGCCUGUGGUGGAAAACGAUUUUCUAGUGGUUGGGGAUGAGCUCGCGGCCUAUCAGCUUGUUGGUGGGGUAAUGGCCUACCAAGGCGGCGACGGGUAGCCGGCCUGAGAGGGUGGACGGGCACAUUGGGACUGAGAUACGGCCCAGGCUCCUACGGGAGGCAGCAGUGGGGAAUAUUGCGCGAUGGGCGGAAGCCUGAUGCAGCGACGCCGCGUGGGGGAUGACGGCCUUCGGGUUGUAAACUCCUUUCGACCGCGAGGAAGCCACCUGGUUGGAAGGGUGGUGACGGUAGUGGUAGAAGAAGCACCGGCUAACUACGUG